CCGGGAUUCCCGAGCCUGGUACGGGGCAGUUCCUUUUAAGUCUGUGGUCCUUAUGGGCCUCGUGGGUUCGAAUCCCACUCCCGGCGCCA
RNAcentral lists this transfer RNA (89 nucleotides) under miscellaneous Crenarchaeota group archaeon SMTZ-80. Its description in RNAcentral is "tRNA-Lys". It matches the Rfam family "tRNA". From Rfam's summary of the family: Transfer RNA (tRNA) molecules are approximately 80 nucleotides in length. Their secondary structure includes four short double-helical elements and three loops (D, anti-codon, and T loops). Lineage: Archaea; Thermoproteati; Candidatus Bathyarchaeota. The record is from RNAcentral.